CUCUUUGGCUGAACUUUUCUAGAAAGGUCUAGAAGUGCGCGCGUGUGUAGUUUUCUUUAAUGUGAGAGGUUCAAUUAGUAAGAUAGUUAAUACAAAGUUCGUUAGUAAGGUGUUAGUCGCUGUAAAAUUGUUAUAAAAAUUUAUAGUUAAAACACGACACAAAGCAAACAACAAAAACGAACACGUUAAAAAGCAACAAGAAAAAGGUCCAAAGUAUGGGCCUUUUUCUGUAUUUUUGGAAUAAUCCCCAGCAACCUCGGCGGCGAGAAUGGCGACAGAAGGUCGGCAUCAGCAGCGCACCGCAAUCUGCUUCAGCCAAAGCCGCCAUUGUUAUGGCAUCCAUGUGGCUCAACGCAACGGAGCCCAACAUUUCGACCAGACGUCCGGUAAUUUCACCGAUGUUCGCCAACGCCUGCCGCUGGAGUCAAACCACGCUUCCGAGGCCGCUUUCCGCCAUCUCCGUCGGCAUCUGCUAGACUGGCUCAACGUAGAUCGCUCUACUAGGUUACAGAGCGAGCUACCCGUAUGCGGAACCGGAGGUUCCCCCAAAACCUGUCGACCGACCACAACCGCAAGUAUAAACCCCCUGCAAAACUGACGUCACAACAAUAAAACAGACGAGGUCGUAAAACUGA
Molecule: long non-coding RNA, 635 nt
Organism: Armigeres subalbatus
Lineage: Eukaryota; Metazoa; Arthropoda; Insecta; Diptera; Culicidae
Exons: 4
Source: RefSeq, a predicted model, not a curated record